Molecule: ribosomal RNA, 253 nt
Filed under: uncultured bacterium
Lineage: Bacteria
Description: partial 16S ribosomal RNA
Rfam family: Bacterial small subunit ribosomal RNA
Source: RNAcentral
UACAGAGGUCUCAAGCGUUGUUCGGAUUCAUUGGGCGUAAAGCGCGUGUAGGCGGCUCGGUAAGUCUGCUGUGAAAGUCCAGGGCUCAACCCUGGAACGCCGGUGGAUACUGUCGAGCUCGAGUCCGGAAGAGGCGAGUGGAAUUCCUGGUGUAGCGGUGAAAUGCGCAGAUAUCAGGAGGAACACCAAUGGCGAAGGCAGCUCGCUGGGACGGUACUGACGCUGAGACGCGAAAGCGUGGGGAGCAAACAGG